GCUCGUUCGUCUACCCUGUGGUACCGAGUUGUGUCUGAGCAUCAGCAAACACAAUCGGUCACUGGGUAAAGGACCUUGCUC
Molecule: microRNA precursor, 81 nt
Organism: Onchocerca volvulus
Lineage: Eukaryota; Metazoa; Nematoda; Chromadorea; Rhabditida; Onchocercidae
Rfam family: mir-57 microRNA precursor family
Source: Rfam